CCGAAGGAGAGAGCGCAGAGAGGGAGAAUGUGUCUGCGUGCGCACAGCCAAAAUUGGUCAGAAAGGGGAGUAAAGUGGGACACGAGCUUCAAAGUAGGGAAACCAAAGAAGGGAGCAUCCACGUCCUCUCUCUGCAGCUUCUCCCCCGCGUUCUUCGGGCGAAUCCGAGGGACGGGCGCUGCGCUGGGGAAAGUUUGUCCCACCCGCGUUUCGCAGCUGGUUGCAAGGAGAGGAGGAGGAGAGGGAGGGUCAAGCUCGGAGCCUGUGACCGCACGGAUGAUCGAGCCGGCGUCGCGCUUACCUCGCAGUCCUCGUACUUGAUAUUAUCCGUCAAUUUCCAAAGCAUUUUCAUGGAUCGGCGUGAACGGAUAUGCCCCUCUCGGUCUCGCACCCAAGUGGAGCUACUCUCUGGCUCUUUACCAACAGCCUAAUCGCCUCAUUAGCAUAUCAACAAUAGUCCAAUUGCUCGCCAGUACCACAAUCUGCCGCCGGCCGCUCCGACACAGGUAUAAAGGCCUCUCUACGCCGCGAACUUGCUUCUAGAGCGCACUCCAGCCUGCGAACUGAUAAAACCUUCCUCGAGCUCCGCCGCGAGGCCCUGCCCCAACACCCCCUCUCUUACCCCAAUUCCGCCACAUUCCCCUUCCUUUCUUUCUCCGCUUCCUUUUCUCCAGAGAUGCCUUCUGCAAAGCCCGGCACUGCUCAAGGUCCAAGCGCCACGCCUGGGGCCCAGCUUCUAGCACUUCUCCCUUAACCCUGCUACCACGAUCCGAGCUGCCCUUUUGGCCCCGUGCAAUUUUAUUAGAAAUCAUUAUCCCUUUCGCAAUUAAACAUAACCACCAAACCAAGACCGGCGAAGUCACUCCAGGAUUUUUUCCCAACAAGGGAUCGCCUCCGCUCGAGGCAGCCACCCCCUCGGGCCGCAGCGCCUUGGGAGUUUUAUUGGCUUUGAGCUUUCCCCCAGGUUGGAGAUUCUGCCAAGCGGCUCCGGUGGCUCUGCUGGGGUUUGCAAUCCCUUAAUUGCAGCGUGUAAAAUAAAAGUUGUACCCUGAAGAGGUUACUUGACAGCUCCAGGGGUUAAACAAUUUUUCUCCUGUUUGUGUGAAGCUAGGGCCAACUGACAGUUCAAAUUGGUGUUCAGGCUAAGGUUUCCUGGGUGCAACGUGGACACGAAUACAGAACUCCUAUGGAACUGCACACCCGCUUCUGAAGUUGAGCCUAAAAACAGACGUGUGUGUGCCUGCAAGUCUAGAUACCGUCUCGUGCGUGCAUCAAAAUAAAUCACCGGGAACCGACUUUUAGCUGUGUUAAUCUGCUCUAGUUUUCCCAAGAUUCCCCUUUUUAAUUAAAGCAGGGAGAGUUCCUUCAUGAUUUGGUGAUGCUACUAACGCGGGCGUGCUCGCGAGGCAGAGCCCGGCUGCCGCGGAACCUGGAGGCCUGGGAGCCACCUACUCGUCCAGACUGGUCAGUCCGGGCUUUUGGACUCCUCACCGGGGCCUGCUGGGUCCUCUGGGGCUUUUAUCCCUUUCGGUUUUGGGAUUUUUUUUUAAGUAAGAAAAAAAAAAAAGAAAAGGACCUAAUGUGACACUAGGAAAUACAGAGUAAUUAAUUUUCCUGGCUGAGCUUCCUCGUUUGUCCUCCAAAAGAAAGUUACCUCUGUCUUUUCUCUCUGCUAUAUGUACAAACUCCUUAACUACACUAGGUCCCGCCUCAGAGUUGCUCUAGUAAGGACCUUUGAUUCAUCUGGGCUUGUUUCUCGAAAAUCUCCAGGCCUCCCAUAUUUCCACCGGG
Molecule: long non-coding RNA, 1791 nt
Filed under: Homo sapiens (human)
Lineage: Eukaryota; Metazoa; Chordata; Mammalia; Primates; Hominidae
Description: HSALNT0101172
Source: RNAcentral